GACGAACGCUGGCGGCGUGCUUAACACAUGCAAGUCGAACGGAAAGGCCCUGCUUUUGUGGGGUGCUCGAGUGGCGAACGGGUGAGUAACACGUGAGUAACCUGCCCUUGACUUUGGGAUAACUUCAGGAAACUGGGGCUAAUACCGGAUAGGAGCUCCUGCUGCAUGGUGGGGGUUGGAAAGUUUCGGCGGUUGGGGAUGGACUCGCGGCUUAUCCGCUUGUUGGGGGGGUGGUGGCUUACCAAGGUCUUGACGGGUAGCCGGCCUGAGAGGGUGACCGGCCACAUUGGGACUGAGCUACGGCCCAGUCUCCUACGGGAGGCAGCAGUGGGGAAUAUUGCACAAUGGGCGGAAGCCUGAUGCAGCAACGCCGCGUGCGGGAUGACGGCCUUCGGGUUGUAAACCGCUUUCGCCUGUGACGAAGCGUGAGUGACGGUAAUGGGUAAAGAAGCACCGGCUAACUACGUGCCAGCCGCCGCCGUAA
Molecule: ribosomal RNA, 484 nt
Filed under: uncultured bacterium
Lineage: Bacteria
Description: partial 16S ribosomal RNA
Rfam family: Bacterial small subunit ribosomal RNA
Source: RNAcentral